UGAGGACUGACUCCCAAAUGGAUAUGCUUUAACCUUUAAGCUUCGUUGAAUUACUAAAAAAUUUUUAACUUCAAUUGUUUUUUAUUACAGAAACAAGAGAUUCAUUGUGGAGAGCGAGGAAAAUAAAGAGACGUUGGAAGGAAAAAUGCAAAUAAUCUCUCCACUAAAGCCUCUUGGCACGGAGGGCCUCUAUUCCACUGAUCUUAAUACAGCUACAGCAAACAGCAGGCACUCAAUGCUUGUUGGAGAAAAAUCCAAUCGAUUUCACUUUGGCAUCAGCUAUUCAGUUGGAAGCAGCUCAAGAAACAUACGGAUAUCAGAGAGGAGGGUGAGUGGCUUUCAAGGUCCAACUAAGGAGGUCACCUGAUCAUUCAGUGUUUGAAAGACACCAGCCAGCCACAGGCAUCCAUCUAACUGACCGGGCCAAUGAAAGACGGUGAGCAAAUAUUCCUGGGAGCUGUAUACGGAGGUAGAGACCCGAUUUCAGGACCAAUACUGCUCAAUACUUAAAGGCCAAUGCCGAAAAAUAAAAUGCAUUAUUCCCCC
This 546-nucleotide long non-coding RNA is filed under the name Felis catus (domestic cat). RNAcentral describes it as "lncRNA (ENSFCAG00000036828.3)". The record is from RNAcentral. Lineage: Eukaryota; Metazoa; Chordata; Mammalia; Carnivora; Felidae.